GUCUAGUGUCGAGUGGUUAGGCCACAGCGCUCUCACCACUGUGUCCUGGGUUCGAUUCCCGGACAGGAAA
Non-coding RNA from Pangasius djambal, 70 nucleotides. The record is from the annotation of a GenBank genome assembly. Lineage: Eukaryota; Metazoa; Chordata; Actinopteri; Siluriformes; Pangasiidae.